GGACUACAGGGGUUUCUAAUCCCGUUCGCUCCCCUGGCUUUCGCGCUUGAGCGUCAGUAUCGGCCCAGUGACCCGCCUUCGCAUCUGGUGUUCCUCCCAAUAUCUACGCAUUUCACCGCUACACUGGGAAUUCCAGUCACCUCUUCCGUACUCUAGUUUGGCAGUAUCAAAUGCAGUUCCCAAGUUGAGCCCGGGGCUUUCACAUCUGACUUGCCAGACCGCCUUCACGCGCUUUACGCCCAGUAAUUCCGAACAACGCUUGCCCCCUACGUAUUACCGCGGCGGCUGGCAC
This 292-nucleotide ribosomal RNA is filed under the name uncultured Acidobacteriota bacterium. RNAcentral describes it as "uncultured Acidobacteria bacterium partial 16S ribosomal RNA". Lineage: Bacteria; Pseudomonadati; Acidobacteriota. The record is from RNAcentral.